Epinephelus moara (kelp grouper) is the source of this 343-nucleotide long non-coding RNA. RefSeq lists it as uncharacterized. Lineage: Eukaryota; Metazoa; Chordata; Actinopteri; Perciformes; Serranidae. The record is from RefSeq and is a predicted model, not a curated record. The transcript has 3 exons.
ACUUUAUUCUGUGUUUAUUCAGUCUGCUCCGUACCUUGUUUGCUGUGGUGAAAAUAAAGGUCAUUACCAACUGUUCCUGAGCACCUGUGUACUGCAUUUGGGUCCAUACCACACCCCUCUCAACAGUAUAGGAAAGCUUGAUGUACCAGAGAGCUGGUUUAUGGGCUUGAAGUUUGAGAGGGAGAAAGACUGCCCAACAGUUCCACUCAUUGCAAGCACCCAAGAACAAGCUGGAACAACCACUCCCCCAACACCACGAGACGGCUCUGGAGCUGAAGAAGCGUCAUCUCAAAGUGAGUUGGUAGCUGAGCAUCUCAAAGGUCGUCUCAGAUCCAUGUUUGAU